GGGUAAAUAAACGUGGGAUGAUAUGAAGGGCCCGACGUGGAGGACCGCUGUCACAAAUGGGAGAUCAAUCUUCAAUUUGUCGCGUUAUCACGACGAGGCCUCUCUUCGCCCUUGUUAGACCCCCUCGUAAGAGAGCUGCACGCUCUCCCCGAGGGGGAAGAAACGGGGCCCUGUCACGUUCCCUCGUUCGCCGUGUCUCGGGGAGAGAGAGAAGGAGAGAAAGAGAGAGAGAGAGGCGAGAGCGCAAAGCGAAAGGAAUAUGUAACAACAUAAUGCGGACUUACGGACGCUAUAUCGAAUACAACGAUUGGAAACGGU
Long non-coding RNA from Frieseomelitta varia, 318 nucleotides. RefSeq lists it as uncharacterized. The record is from RefSeq and is a predicted model, not a curated record. NCBI's taxonomy places the organism in Eukaryota, Metazoa, Arthropoda, Insecta, Hymenoptera, Apidae. The transcript has 2 exons.